UCUGUGAGUUCAGGGACAGUCCACUCAGA
RNAcentral lists this non-coding RNA (29 nucleotides) under Mus musculus (house mouse). Lineage: Eukaryota; Metazoa; Chordata; Mammalia; Rodentia; Muridae. The record is from RNAcentral.